UGACCGCUGGCGGCGUGCCUACUACAUGCAAGUCGAGCGAACAGACGAGGAGCUUGCUCCUCUGACGUUAGCGGCGGACGGGUGAGUAACACGUGGAUAACCUACCUAUAAGACUGGGAUAACUUCGGGAAACCGGAGCUAAUACCGGAUAAUAUAUUGAACCGCAUGGUUCAAUAGUGAAAGACGGUUUUGCUGUCACUUAUAGAUGGAUCCGCGCCGCAUUAGCUAGUUGGUAAGGUAACGGCUUACCAAGGCGACGAUGCGUAGCCGACCUGAGAGGGUGAUCGGCCACACUGGAACUGAGACACGGUCCAGACUCCUACGGGAGGCAGCAGUAGGGAAUCUUCCGCAAUGGGCGAAAGCCUGACGGAGCAACGCCGCGUGAGUGAUGAAGGUCUUCGGAUCGUAAAACUCCGUUAUUAGGGAAGAACAAAUGUGUAAGUAACUAUGCACGUCUUGACGGUACCUAAUCAGAAAGCCACGGCUAACUACGUG
Molecule: ribosomal RNA, 495 nt
Filed under: uncultured bacterium
Lineage: Bacteria
Description: partial 16S ribosomal RNA
Rfam family: Bacterial small subunit ribosomal RNA
Source: RNAcentral